This 494-nucleotide ribosomal RNA is filed under the name uncultured bacterium. Its description in RNAcentral is "partial 16S ribosomal RNA". It matches the Rfam family "Bacterial small subunit ribosomal RNA", at positions 28 to 507 of the family's 1533-position model. The record is from RNAcentral.
GACGAACGCUGGCGGCGUGCUUAACACAUGCAAGUCGAACGGAAAGGCCUGCUUUCCCUUGUGGAUUGCGGGUACUCGAGUGGCGAACGGGUGAGUAACACGUGAGUGAUCUGCCCCCAACUUGGGUAUAAGCCUGGGAAACUGGGUCUAAUUCCCGAUAGGACUGCAGGGUGGUGCCUGUGGUGGAAAACGAUUUUCUAGUGGUUGGGGAUGAGCUCGCGGCCUAUCGGCUUGUGGGUGGGGUAAUGGCCUACCAAGGCGGCGACGGGUAGCCGGCCUGAGAGGGUGGACGGCCACAUUGGGACUGAGAUACGGCCCAGACUCCUACGGGAGGCAGCAGUGGGGAAUAUUGCACAAUGGGCGGAAGCCUGAUGCAGCGACGCCGCGUGGGGGAUGACGGCCUUCGGGUUGUAAACUCCUUUCGACCGCGAGGAAGCCACCUGGUUGGAAGGGUGGUGACGGUAGUGGUAGAAGAAGCACCGGCUAACUACGUG